UACGUGGGGGGCAAGCGUUGUUCGGAAUUACUGGGCGUAAAGGGCUCGUAGGCGGCCCUCUCAGUCGGAUGUGAAAUCCCCAGGCUUAACCUGGGAACGGCAUCCGAUACUGGAGGGCUUGAAUUCGGGAGAGGGAUGCAGAAUUCCAGGUGUAGCGGUGAAAUGCGCAGAUAUCAGGAGGAACACCGGUGGCGAAGGCGGCAUCCUGGACCAAUACUGACACUGAGGCGCGAAAGCGUGGGGAGCGAACAGG
This 253-nucleotide ribosomal RNA is filed under the name uncultured bacterium. RNAcentral describes it as "partial 16S ribosomal RNA". It matches the Rfam family "Bacterial small subunit ribosomal RNA", at positions 524 to 776 of the family's 1533-position model. The record is from RNAcentral.